UAUUAAAGAAUCAAGCUUCACUACCUUCUACUUUUGUAGAUUCACCAAAUCUUCAAAGUCUUCGAUCAUUUGCAAAAAAUAUUGGAGCUUCAAGUUUCGUCCUCCUCGAAACCUUCCAAGUCUUCAUACAUUCCGUGCAAAUCAAAGAAUUUUCUUCUUGUCAACCAUCUUCUUCAUCAAAUCGAUUAUAGAUUAUUUUUCGUUUCGCGCAAAGAAAAGAUACAAUGUAUGUCACAAAACCCAAACAACAAAGUCACUAAAAUCCGCGCGACUGGCGGUGGCUAGAAGUUUUGGCAUAAUUGGUGAACGAAUGAGACUGGCGCGACUGGGCAUGCGACGCGCGAAGGAACAACCGGCGCAAAGGUGCUAUACUUCGAAUGAAGUAAACAUGCGACUAGCGGCGUGCAGCGGAGGAGAUGUUUUUUUGCGGCUUAGUUCUCGAUCAACGUAAUGGAGAAGGUGGCUACAAAAGUGGAGAUCUCGAUUGGACGAAGAACACUCAAACGAAGAUGGAGAUGUCGGCGGCGGCUAGGGUUUGGCGAGAGUGAAGAAGAUGAUGAAUAGUAAUAAUAAUAUUAUUAUAUUAUUAUUUUCCCUUAAAUA
Long non-coding RNA from Cucumis sativus (cucumber), 603 nucleotides. RefSeq lists it as uncharacterized. NCBI's taxonomy places the organism in Eukaryota, Viridiplantae, Streptophyta, Magnoliopsida, Cucurbitales, Cucurbitaceae. The record is from RefSeq and is a predicted model, not a curated record. The transcript has 2 exons.